GACGAACGCUGGCGGCGUGCUUAACACAUGCAAGUCGAACGGAAAGGCCCUGCUUUUGUGGGGUGCUCGAGUGGCGAACGGGUGAGUAACACGUGAGUAACCUGCCCUUGACUUUGGGAUAACUUCAGGAAACUGGGGCUAAUACCGGAUAGGAGCUCCUGCUGCAUGGUGGGGGUUGGAAAGUUUCGGCGGUUGGGGAUGGACUCGCGGCUUAUCAGCUUGUUGGUGGGGUAGUGGCUUACCAAGGCUUUGACGGGUAGCCGGCCUGAGAGGUUGACCGGCCACAUUGGGACUGAGAGACGGCGCAGACUCCUACGGGAGGCAGCAGUGGGGAAUAUUGCACAAUGGGCGGAAGCCUGAUGCAGCGACGCCGCGUGCGGGAUGACGGCCUUCGGGUGGUAAACCGCUUUCGCAGGUGACGAAGCGUGAGUGACGGUAAUGGGUAAAGAAGCACCGGCUAACUACGUG
Molecule: ribosomal RNA, 468 nt
Filed under: uncultured bacterium
Lineage: Bacteria
Description: partial 16S ribosomal RNA
Rfam family: Bacterial small subunit ribosomal RNA
Source: RNAcentral